This 465-nucleotide ribosomal RNA is filed under the name uncultured bacterium. RNAcentral's name for it is "partial 16S ribosomal RNA". It matches the Rfam family "Bacterial small subunit ribosomal RNA", at positions 28 to 507 of the family's 1533-position model. The record is from RNAcentral.
GACGAACGCUGGCGGCGUGCUUAACACAUGCAAGUCGAACGGAAAGGCCCCCUUGUGGGGUACUCGAGUGGCGAACGGGUGAGUAACACGUGAGUAACCUACCCUUGACUUUGGGAUAACUUCAGGAAACUGGGGCUAAUACCGGAUAGGAGCUCCUACUGCAUGGUGGGGGUUGGAAAGUUUCGGCGGUUGGGGAUGGACUCGCGGCUUAUCAGCUUGUUGGUGGGGUAGUGGCUCACCAAGGCUUUGACGGGUAGCCGGCCUGAGAGGGUGACUGGCCACAUUGGGACUGAGAUACGGCCCAGACUCCUACGGGAGGCAGCAGUGGGGAAUAUUGCACAAUGGGCGGAAGCCUGAUGCAGCAACGCCGCGUGCGGGAUGACGGCCUUCGGGUUGUAAACCGCUUUCGCCUGUGACGAAGCGUGAGUGACGGUAAUGGGUAAAGAAGCACCGGCUAACUACGUG